Molecule: long non-coding RNA, 513 nt
Filed under: Helianthus annuus (common sunflower)
Lineage: Eukaryota; Viridiplantae; Streptophyta; Magnoliopsida; Asterales; Asteraceae
Description: hypothetical non coding rna
Source: RNAcentral
UCACCGAUGCGAUGUUCUGUCCGAUCGAUUCAGGAACCAACUAACGGAUCCCAAAGUUCUAUACUUUGAGAGUUCGUUAAACGGAUGCCAAAGUACUAUACUUUGUGAUUUCGGUAAACGGAAUCCAAAGUGUUACACUAUGUGAAAUUCGUUAAGGUUCGAAUCUCGUGACUACCGUUAAGGUUUGAUUUGUGUUUUACACAAAUACGUAUUCCAUUCUGUUAAACUAUAUGUUUAACUACAAAAAAUACUCCCAACUACACACUCACAAUCAAACAAACUAUUAAAUCAUCAGAAGAUCCAGAAUAAUAAAGUGCAUGCUUAAUUAUCGGAAGAAGUAGAAUCAAGAAGCUUGUUAACUCAAUCUUGCAUGCUUAUAAAGUAAUUACAGUAGAUUGGAGUAAGGAUUGGAUCCAGCACUGAAGGACUUCAAGAAGUGGCUUAUUUUAUUAAUUAAAUCAACUUAAGAAAUAUUGUUUUUGGGUUUAUCCCGUAUUAAAAGCUACCUUUGUA